RNAcentral lists this long non-coding RNA (261 nucleotides) under Elaeis guineensis (African oil palm). RNAcentral's name for it is "long non-coding RNA (EGUI_LNC059798)". The record is from RNAcentral. Lineage: Eukaryota; Viridiplantae; Streptophyta; Magnoliopsida; Arecales; Arecaceae.
GAGUCAAUGACCAUUCAAGGUAGAGAUUGAAUGAAGAUUGAAGUCAUAGUGCCAUCUUAUCUCUGGAGGUGGUCUAAUCUUGUUAGACCCAUUAAUGGGUGCUUGACUAUGAUUCGAGGAGAAGAGGUUAGGUCUGAUGAUAGGCAAUCCUCAUCAUAGUUAGAGUUUUAAGAAGAGAGAGAAUGAAAAAUCUCUUCUCAUAAGAUGACAUUUCUCACAUUUCAAGAAAAGCAGAAACUCACAAAGGAGAUAGGUUUUAGA